GACGAACGCUGGCGGCGUGCUUAACACAUGCAAGUCGAACGGAAAGGCCCUGCUUUUGUGGGGUGCUCGAGUGGCGAACGGGUGAGUAACACGUGAGUAACCUGCCCUUGACUUUGGGAUAACUUCAGGAAACUGGGGCUAAUACCGGAUAGGAGCUCCUGCUGCAUGGUGGGGGUUGGAAAGUUUCGGCGGUUGGGGAUGGACUCGCGGCUUAUCAGCUUGUUGGUGGGGUAGUGGCUUACCAAGGCUUUGACGGGUAGCCGGCCUGAGAGGGUGACCGGCCACAAUGGGACUGAGAUACGGGCCAGGAUUCUACGGGAGGCAGCAGUGGGGAAUAUUGCACAAUGGGCGGAAGCCUGAUGCAGCAACGCCGCGUGCGGGAUGACGGCCUUCGGGUUGUAAACCGCUUUCGCCUGUGACGAAGCGUGAGUGACGGUAAUGGGUAAAGAAGCACCGGCUAACUACGUG
RNAcentral lists this ribosomal RNA (468 nucleotides) under uncultured bacterium. Its description in RNAcentral is "partial 16S ribosomal RNA". It matches the Rfam family "Bacterial small subunit ribosomal RNA", at positions 28 to 507 of the family's 1533-position model. The record is from RNAcentral.